RNAcentral lists this long non-coding RNA (233 nucleotides) under Brassica napus (rape). Its description in RNAcentral is "long non-coding RNA (BNAP_LNC004145)". Lineage: Eukaryota; Viridiplantae; Streptophyta; Magnoliopsida; Brassicales; Brassicaceae. The record is from RNAcentral.
UAAACCUGAUGUCCUUGGACCCAAAAAUAGAACUCCGAAUGAAUAUAAUUUAAUUCUAACACAUUUCAAGCACGGUACCUAAAGUACCCAAACAACAAACAAUUGUCCUAACGAGGUGGGCACUCGCUGCCCACUAACGGGCAAAACAAAACACUGCCGAGAGAGUGCUCGGUGUCACCGCCCUCAGUUUUAAAAAUAUUUUUUCACUUAGGAUCAAGCGGUUGCGGUCGCCC